This is a long non-coding RNA of Canis lupus familiaris (dog), 1361 nucleotides long. RefSeq lists it as uncharacterized. The transcript has 3 exons. The record is from RefSeq and is a predicted model, not a curated record. Lineage: Eukaryota; Metazoa; Chordata; Mammalia; Carnivora; Canidae.
UCCUGAGGUAGAACCACAAGGAAGCCAUCUGUCUGGAAUGUGGUAUUGUGAUCCCUGGCUGGAGAUAGGUGUUCUAUUUCUGCCUGAAUGCAGAAAAAUGAAAGAUUCUAAAGAGAUUCUUCUCUAAAGAACUUACAAAGAGGCCUGGGACAGCCCUUUCUGGUGCCAGACAACAUUCCUGCAUUUUAGAGGGCCCUGUAACAGAUGGUAGGAAGACGAAGUCAAUAUUACACCUACUUCAUAAACUUCAAAGCACACAUCAAGUUGCAGUCAUACAUGUGAUCUUCUCCCAUCAGCCUCCUCCUGAUAUCCCAAUUGUCUCUUGCUGAAUUUCUCCAGCUGUGAAGUUUUGAAUUUUUUUCUUUAGUUGACAGCUAAGUGUUGGGGAACAUUCUCAAAGAAAUCCAGUAGAGCACCUUUGGUAUUAAGCCACACAGGAUUUGGAGUAUCAGCAGUGGCCUUGCCACUCACUCUUCCUUUUCCCCAGGUGAAAAACCAAAACAAACCAAAGGACUACCACCAACCAAAAAUCCCAUCCAGAAUAUGGUUCAUGCUUCUGGUCUCAAGGCAAAGGUCUAAUGGAGCUCUCUGUAUUACUCCUGGCCCUAAGUGAAACAUAAGAAACCUCACUGCCCCAUUCCUGCCUCUGUGGCCUCCCAAUGCUCAUUUCUGUUUCCACUGGCAAUCUCCACAUAGACAUUUACCUGGCAAGUGUGCCUUCAAGUCUAUGUGCCCUGCUCCUCUGAGUGUUUGAGCUCCGUCUGCAACCACUCAAAGAGGGGAAUGUGGAGAAGGCCAGCCAUGCCAUGGUUCUCACCUGGCCUCCUCAGGCCAAUGGGGGAAACAUGCAUUGGGGGAAUUUUGGAAACUCUACCAUCCUGGUUGUGUGGAAUACUGAAGAAAAGAUACUUUUCUCUUAAAUCGGAGCGUGUGUGCAUGUAUUUACUAUACUCUAUAAAAAGGUCUGAUUAGCAUUUCUUUUUUAGUUGCUCCUUCUCCAUCCCAGCUGCACCAAUUGUGGUCAGUAAAACAGAAUUGGGUGCAACAGUAAUUCAGGAAAGCAGCUGAAAGGAAAGGGAAUGAGUUUGCUUAGAGCUUGAAGAAACCACUCCAAUUUAAAAGAUAGAGAAGGGAUGAAAUGAGAAAUUUGGAGGGAAGGAACAAAAAAAUUCCAAAGACAUAGGAACUGAAGCAAAUGGGGGAAAAGGGAGAGAGAGAGAGAGAGAGAGAGAGAGAGAUAUCUCAAACUACUCACACUGAGAAACAGAGAACCCCUUUCUAUAGAAAAAUGCAAAAAAACAAAUUUCUUUUUUCAAAACAACAAAUGGGAUAGAAAAGUCUGGAUUUUUAAAAAUGAAAAC